AGCAAUGCACUCAGACUCCUCUCUGCUGUGGAGAGCUUUUUUUUUUUUUUUUCAUAUUAAACUUUCACUCCAACUUUAUCUUUGUGUUUACAAUUCUUAAUUUUUUUGUCUUGGAUAAAGAACAAAAAACCUGGAGUACUUCUUCAGACAACAAGAAACUUCCAAAUUAAGGUGCAUUGGCAAGAAUGCAACAUAUUUUGAUCCAUUGGCUUGGAAGGAGGGAAUUCAUCAGAAGGGAGUGAAGACUGAUUUUGCAGAGCCAAUAAAGGCCCCUGGGGAAACUGGCCUCAUAUCUUGUCAUGAAGAUUUUAUACAGGUUUCCUAACCUGUGUGCUCACUGCUGCAAAGAAGAACAAGCACACAGGCAAAAAGUUUUCCCAGCAAGAAUGCCAGGGUGAAAGGAAAGAUCAAUUGGACCAGAGCACAAGUGCUGCUCCAGUUACUUGGCAGAGUACCUAAUAGUGAUCCACCACAAUACCACCAUAUAUCUGUUUGGGAAUAAACAAGGGCAAGUUGACUGCACCAUGUAAGAACUGCCUUUUGCCUCACAUCGUUAUUCUGAGGCCCCCUGACCAUGUGAGACUCACACAGAGAUAUUCCUUCAGCAUACCAUACUGCCAUAGAGUGAUGGAGGAAUGACACCAGUAAUUUGAGACCUCUUCAGUGGCUCUGUGAUACAAAGUUAAAACCAGGUCUGCUGCAGUUUGCGGGAGGUCCACUCCAGACCCUGUUUGCCUGGGUGUCACCAGUGGAGGCUGCAGAACAGAAAGGAUUGCCACCUGCUCCUUCCUCUGGAAGCUUCAUCCCAGAGGGACACUGGCCUGAUGCCAGCCACAGCUCUCCUGUACAAGUGUUUAUUAUAUCCCUCUAUAUGGCCAUGUGUACUCAUCGUUCACCUUCCACUUACAUGUAAAAACAUAUGAAUGUUGCAUAUGCUGAGAAGAAUGUGUAUUCUACAGAUGCUGGAGGAAAUGUUCUGCAAAUAUCUAUUACAUUUAUUUGCCCUAUUGUAUAAAGUAAUGAUUGUGAUUCUUUUUAAAUUUUUAUUCUAGAUUAUCUGCCUUCUAGAUAAUGAAAUUGUAAAAGUCUGUUUUGUGAUAAAAAUGUCUUGAAGCCUUCAGCUGAUCUUUAGGAUUUUACUCUAUUGUUUAAAAUGUAUAAAUUUAAGUGUACAAUGCAAUUUUAUUACAUGAUCAUAUUGUGUAGUGAUAAAGUCAUGGUUUUAGUGUAUUAAUCAUCUGAAUAAUGUACAUUGUACUCAUUAAGUAUGUCUCAUCAACCAAGCUCUUUCCAUCCUUCCACAUUUCUGACUCUCCAAUGUGUAUCAUUCUAUACUUUAUGCCCAUGCUUACAAUAUUGUGAAUAUACAGUAUUUGACUUUAUGUUUCCAAGUUUGUUUGUUUUAGAUCAUGGCCUCCAGUUUUAUACAUGUCAAUAGAGAGGACAUGACUUUAUUCUUUUCUAUAAUGAAAUUGUAUUUUAUUAUGUUUAUGUAGCAUAUUUGUUUAAUCUAAUUAUAUGGUGAUAAUCAGUUUAGGUAAUUCUAUUGUUUUACUACUGUGAAUAAUGCUGCAAUACUUAUAUGAUAUGUAUUUUAUAUAAUGAUUUUAAUAUCUUUGAUAGAUACCCAGUAGUGGGAUUGCUGGAACAAGUGGUACUUACAGUUUUAGUUCUUUGAUAAAUAACCAUUCUGUUUUUCAUAGAGCUUAUACUAAUCUAUAUUCCCACCAACAGUAUUAAGCAUUCUUUCUUAGCAUCCUCAUCAUCUGUUUUUCUUUUUAUGUAAUAGCCAUUUUGAGUGGUGUAAUAUGAUAUCUAUCUUACGGUGGUUUUAGUUUGCAUUUCUUUGAUCAUUAGUGAUGUUGAACAUUGGCUUAUAUGCAUGCUGGCCUUUGGAUGUCUUCUUUUGAUAAAUGACUAUUCAUAUUAUUAAUAGCUUUUAUUAUCCUUUCAAAACUUAAAUUUUGGUUUUCACAAACACAUGAAGGUUUCUUACACAGUUAAACUCAGGUCAUAGGGAUGAGUUGUAAAGAUUAUUUCAUCACCUGGAAAUUAAGCCCAAUACCCAAUAGUUAUCUUUUCUGCUUGUCUCCCUUUUUCUUCCCACCAUCCUCAAGUAGACCCCACUGUCUGUUAUUUCCUUCUUUGUUUUAACAAGUAUUACUUAGCCCUAACCUUUGAUGAAAACUAUUGGUUUUCUCUUCCAGCAUUAGCUUACUCAGAUUAAUACCCUCCAUCUCCAUCCAUGUGCCUGCAAAAAAAAAACAUAAUCUUGCUUUUUUAUAUGUAUAUUGGCAUAGUAUUCCAUGGUAUAUAUAUGCCAUAUUGCUUUAUUCUAUCAUUAAUGAACAUUUAUAUUAAUAUCAUGUCUUUGCUAUUGUAAAUACUGCUGCUAUGAAUAUUCAUGUGUAUGUCUCUGUGUGGUAGGAUGAUUUAUGUAUCAUCCUUUGGUACACACUUAGUCAUAAAAUUGCUUAGCCAAAUGGUAGUUCUGCUUUUAGCCUUUUGCAGAAUCACAAUACUGCUUUCCACAAUGCUUGAACUAAUUUAUGCACCCACAAACAGUGUAUAUAUGUUUCCCUUUCUCUGCAGUCUUGCCAGCAUCUGUUACUAUUUCACUUUUUAGUAAUAGCUUUUCUGACAGCUGUGAGAUUGUAUCUUAUUGUGGUUUUGAUUUGCAUUUAUCUAAUCAUCACUGAUAUUGAGCUUUUUUUAUACAUGAUUAUUGGCAGCAUGUAUGUCUUCUUUUAAAAAAAAUCUGUUCAUGUCCUUUUCCCAUUUUUAAUGGGGUUUUCUAUUGGAAUUGUGUUAAAGUUCUUUAUAGAUGUUGGGUAUUAGACUUUUUCAGAUGCAUAGUUUGCAAAAUUUUUCAGAUUUUUGUCAGAUGCACAGGUUGCAAAAUUUUCUCCCAUUCUGUAGGUUGUCUGUGUACUCUGUUGAUAGUUUCUUUUGCUGUACAAAGUAACAUUUUAAUGGUUUUAUUUGUUUUUCCUGUUGCUUGAGUUUAUUAUAUAUUCUAGAUAUCAGUGUAUUUCUUUUGUUUCUACCCUGACCUUUGUAAUUUAUAAUUUUCUACACAUUGUGAGUAGUUUCAUUUUGUUUUCCUAAAACUCUGAGUUGUCUUAUUUGACUUUUUAGAGCUUUUUACUUUUAAGUGUUGGAAUUUGUUGCUAUCAACUUUUCUAUUUUAGCGAUAUUUGAUUUUUCUUUUUAAUUUUAUAUAUUGUGUUUACUUUUUUAUUUGUCUCAACAUUUAAACAUUUUUAUUUUUACUUUUUUUGGUUCAUUGAUUUUUCAGGAGCAUGCUAUUUAAUUUUUACAUAUCUGUAAAUUUC
Molecule: long non-coding RNA, 3335 nt
Filed under: Homo sapiens (human)
Lineage: Eukaryota; Metazoa; Chordata; Mammalia; Primates; Hominidae
Description: novel transcript
Source: RNAcentral